AAGACGGUCUUGCUGUCACUUAUAGAUGGAUCCGCGCUGCAUUAGCUAGUUGGUAAGGUAACGGCUUACCAAGGCAACGAUGCAUAGCCGACCUGAGAGGGUGAUCGGCCACACUGGAACUGAGACACGGUCCAGACUCCUACGGGAGGCAGCAGUAGGGAAUCUUCCGCAAUGGGCGAAAGCCUGACGGAGCAACGCCGCGUGAGUGAUGAAGGUCUUCGGAUCGUAAAACUCUGUUAUUAGGGAAGAACAUAUGUGUAAGUAACUGUGCACAUCUUGACGGUACCUAAUCAGAAAGCCACGGCUAACUACGUGCCAGCAGCCGCGGUAAUACGUAGGUGGCAAGCGUUAUCCGGAAUUAUUGGGCGUAAAGCGCGCGUAGGCGGUUUUUUAAGUCUGAUGUGAAAGCCCACGGCUCAACCGUGGAGGGUCAUUGGAAACUGGAAAACUUGAGUGCAGAAGAGGAAAGUGGAAUUCCAUGUGUAGCGGUGAAAUGCGCAGAGAUAUGGAGGAACACCAGUGGCGAAGGCGACUUUCUGGUCUGUAACUGACGCUGAUGUGCGAAAGCGUGGGGAUCAAACAGGAUUAGAUACCCUGGUAGUCCACGCCGUAAACGAUGAGUGCUAAGUGUUAGGG
This 636-nucleotide ribosomal RNA is filed under the name Staphylococcus aureus. RNAcentral's name for it is "bacterial SSU rRNA". It matches the Rfam family "Bacterial small subunit ribosomal RNA", at positions 202 to 828 of the family's 1533-position model. Lineage: Bacteria; Bacillati; Bacillota; Bacilli; Caryophanales; Staphylococcaceae. The record is from RNAcentral.